RNAcentral lists this ribosomal RNA (622 nucleotides) under Trichoderma sp. BAB-3205. RNAcentral's name for it is "eukaryotic LSU rRNA". The stretch from base 216 to 369 matches the Rfam family "5.8S ribosomal RNA". The record is from RNAcentral. Lineage: Eukaryota; Fungi; Ascomycota; Sordariomycetes; Hypocreales; Hypocreaceae.
CCGUAGGUGAACCAGCGGAGGGAUCAUUACCGAGUUUACAACUCCCAAACCCAAUGUGAACCAUACCAAACUGUUGCCUCGGCGGGGUCACGCCCCGGGUGCGUCGCAGCCCCGGAACCAGGCGCCCGCCGGAGGGACCAACCAAACUCUUUACUGUAGUCCCCUCGCGGACGUUAUUUCUUACAGCUCUGAGCAAAAAAUUCAAAAUGAAUCAAAACUUUCAACAACGGAUCUCUUGGUUCUGGCAUCGAUGAAGAACGCAGCGAAAUGCGAUAAGUAAUGUGAAUUGCAGAAUUCAGUGAAUCAUCGAAUCUUUGAACGCACAUUGCGCCCGCCAGUAUUCUGGCGGGCAUGCCUGUCCGAGCGUCAUUUCAACCCUCGAACCCCUCCGGGGGGUCGGCGUUGGGGAUCGGGAACCCCUCAGACGGGAUCCCGGCCCCGAAAUACAGUGGCGGUCUCGCCGCAGCCUCUCCUGCGCAGUAGUUUGCACAACUCGCACCGGGAGCGCGGCGCGUCCACGUCCGUAAAACACCCAACUUUCUGAAAUGUUGACCUCGGAUCAGGUAGGAAUACCCGCUGAACUUAAGCAUAUCAAUAAGCGGAGGAAAAGAAACCAACAGGG